RNAcentral lists this ribosomal RNA (431 nucleotides) under uncultured bacterium. RNAcentral's name for it is "partial 16S ribosomal RNA". It matches the Rfam family "Bacterial small subunit ribosomal RNA", at positions 29 to 507 of the family's 1533-position model. The record is from RNAcentral.
AACGAACGCUGGCGGCAGGCUUAACACAUGCAAGUCGAACGCCCCGCAAGGGGAGUGGCCGACGGGUGAGUAACGCGUGGGAACAUACCCUUUUCUACGGAAUAGCUCUGGGAAACUGGAAUUAAUACCGUAUACGCCCUACGGGGGAAAGAUUUAUCGGGGAAGGAUUGGCCCGCGUUGGAUUAGCUAGUUGGUGGGGUAAAGGCCUACCAAGGCGACGAUCCAUAGCUGGUCUGAGAGGAUGAUCAGCCUCAUUGGGACUGAGACACGGCCCAAACUCCUACGGGAGGCAGCAGUGGGGAAUAUUGGACAAUGGGCGCAAGCCUGAUCCAGCCAUGCCGCGUGAGUGAUGAAGGCCUUAGGGUUGUAAAGCUCUUUCACCGAUGAAGAUAAUGACGGUAGUCGGAGAAGAAGCCCCGGCUAACUUCGUG